GGGUUGUGAGGUUAAGCGACUAAGCGUACACGGUGGAUGCCCUGGCAGUCAGAGGCGAUGAAGGGCGUGCUAAUCUGCGAUAAGCGCCGGUAAGGUGAUAUGAACCGUUAUAACCGGCGAUACCCGAAUGGGGAAACCCAGUGUGAUUCGUCACACUAUCAUUAACUGAAUCCAUAGGUUAAUGAGGCGAACCGGGGGAACUGAAACAUCUAAGUACCCCGAGGAAAAGAAAUCAACCGAGAUUCCCCCAGUAGCGGCGAGCGAACGGGGAGGAGCCCAGAGCCUGAAUCAGCAUGUGUGUUAGUGGAAGCGUCUGGAAAGGCGCGCGAUACAGGGUGACAGCCCCGUACACAAAAGCGCAUGUGCUGUGAGCUCGAUGAGUAGGGCGGGACACGUGGUAUCCUGUCUGAAUAUGGGGGGACCAUCCUCCAAGGCUAAAUACUCCUGACUGACCGAUAGUGAACCAGUACCGUGAGGGAAAGGCGAAAAGAACCCCGGCGAGGGGAGUGAAAAAGAACCUGAAACCGUGUACGUACAAGCAGUGGGAGCACCCUUCGGGGUGUGACUGCG
This 570-nucleotide ribosomal RNA is filed under the name Salmonella enterica subsp. enterica serovar Typhimurium. RNAcentral's name for it is "partial 23S ribosomal RNA". It matches the Rfam family "Bacterial large subunit ribosomal RNA", at positions 1 to 601 of the family's 2925-position model. The record is from RNAcentral. Lineage: Bacteria; Pseudomonadati; Pseudomonadota; Gammaproteobacteria; Enterobacterales; Enterobacteriaceae.